Non-coding RNA from Acanthosepion pharaonis, 109 nucleotides. The record is from the annotation of a GenBank genome assembly. Lineage: Eukaryota; Metazoa; Mollusca; Cephalopoda; Sepiida; Sepiidae.
UUACGGUCAUAUCGCGCCGAAACACCGGUUCCCCUACGAUCACCGAAGUUAAGCAACGUCGGGCCUGGUCAGUGAUGGGUGACCGCUUGGGAAUUCCAAGUGCAGUAAG